GCUGCUGCACGUUGUUUAGAAAAUACUGAUCACGAUGCUAAUAGCAAGCUCGAAAUGCUACAAGACAAGUUAUUAUUCGACAAAGGCGAAAUGUUUGGCCGGUUGCAAAUAGAAGACGGGCAAAUUCACAACGAAAUGUUGCUGUUUUUGCUCGCAGAAAUGCCCCAUACUAUAAUGUUGCACGUCAACAUGUAUUGCUUUAUGUUUUUUAUUUAGGUGUUAUGGACAAAAAAUGUGAGUAUUGUCAAGCUGUAAAGUUUGAAAAUGAAGACUGUUUCAAAUGCUGCCAUAAUGGCAAAGUUGCGCUUGAUAAUUGUCUCCUUGCCCUAAGCAGCCAAAGCAACUAUAAAACAAACAAUGAUACUGUUCAGGCACGGGACUUUCAAGCAAAUAUACAUAAGUAUAAUAGUGCAGUUUUCUUGGCUUCAUUUCGGGCAAAUUUUCGUCUUCCUCUUGGCCGUCGAACACUAUGCUUUCGUAUCUGUGGUCAAAUACGGCAUCGUGUUGGGUAUCUGCUGAGGGACAAACUACUGUUUGUGAAUAACUUUAUAUUUAUAAAGCAGGUAGAGCACUCAAUAAAAGAAUGGCACGACCUGAAAAUAAUGGCUGUAGAGAAGACGUGAUGCAAACUGUUCAGGUUGUAAUGUACAGAGUUAGCCAUUUUGCUGACACAUACAGGUACAUGGCUGGCAGCCGCUGAAAACCAUGUCCAAUCAGACAACAUGUUCGCUCAAAAGAUAUUACGAUGAUCAUAAAGUAUGAAAUACCGUAUAUAUUAUGAUGUCAUAAUUUAUAUGAGGACGAUAUAUUGUGUUUAUAGUACCCAGACCCCUACCGUAAAGGAAUCAUAUUUUCAAAGCAGCAUGGCUGCCAGCAAUAUUGAUAAUGAGAAACAUUCUCUAACACACAAGGAUGCGAUUCCACAAGUUAUGAAUUGAUUCAUGAUACAGCAAAAUACUUCUUCUAUGCUUCUAGCAUUAUAGGUCUGAUUAUUUUCAUUGGUAGCAAGUGUCUGUUAUGGUGUUUUUGAAUUUUUGUGUCUGAGAGGCUAGCUAGCUGGUCUAGCCCUCAGCCUAAUUACACAAAUUAUGGGUACUAGUUAAAUAGUUUUUAAAGUAAUGCAUGCCCCAUGUGGACUGGGAAAGAAACCCAGCUAGCUAUAGCUUUUAACUGUAGCUAGUAUACCUAGCUAGAGCUAGCUAUAUAAUUUUUUACUUUUUUACUAGCUAGCUAACUAGCUAGCUACUGCCUACAUGGCAAAAUGUUUUAUUUCCUUUCUUAACCCCAAUCUUCUUUGCAAGCCAACAUGCACAUGAUCGGCCUUAUUUAGAUUCUCGAGUUUUUAAUUGAAACUAAAUGAACUCCUAAAAGAUGUUACUGAAAGAGGAGUUCUAAACAAAACUGUAUCACAUGUUUAUCUUUAGAAUUUAGAAAGAGGUGUUUAACUCAUUGUGAUUUGCCACUUCAUUUACAUCCCAAUGAUAAACUCCGGGAUGCAGAUGACAUAGACAGUGUUUUUCCAGCGGAAACUCCUAAUCAACAGGAACAACCUUACCUGUUUGAAAUUGUUUGGUUGUUUAUGGUUCAUGAGCCAUGUGGCCAUCUGAAUCCUAAUUUCAAGUGUAUUUAGAAUGGUUUUUGCACGAAAAGUUUUCCAAAAAAAUGUUUAGCAUCUACCGUUGCUGAAGUUGGUGGAUAUCUACCGUAUAGACGUCGUGAUAAUGGAAUCUGUAACAACGUCAAUAACAUUAAUGUUGAUAAUCACUGGGUUGUUCCCUACAACCCAUGGCUCUUAAAGAAGUAAAACACAAAUAUAAACUUGGAGGCUCUUAUGUGUGUUAAAAGUUUGUGCUAAACAGAGAGAAUCACAAUGCUUGCCAAUAUUGUAUCCAGACAUUUCUCUUCAUUUCGUUUUCAAUAACAACAGAAAAGUUUGGACACCCAUGCAAAACUUUAACUUUAAAAUUGUCUCUAGAAUGCAUAGUGUGAGUCCUCGUGCAGAUGAAGUACCGCCAGCUGAAAACAUCGAUGUAGCUUUGGAGGCUGGAAGAGCUUCUCAACUGAGAGCUCAACUUACUGAAGAACAGACAGCACUGGCUGAUGCCGUUAUAAAAGUUGUUGUAAAGCUGAUAACAAAAUGACCCAAAAUAACUGCUUGUUUUAUUUAGAGGGAGCUGGUGGCAGUGGUAAAACCUUUACUUAUAAUUACCUUAUUUCUGAACCUUCAGGUAGAGGCUUUCAAUUUGGAACUGCUGAAUUUAUUGGUAUAUUGGUAUAGCAGCAACUCUUUUGUAAAUUGGUACCACCAUACAUAAACUGUCCCGGUCACCAGUUCCUAUUUAAGAAAACAGUACAUACAACGUAUCUCCGGUGUCUUCUUAUUCUGCUGACGGCAAAAAAAUCUUAAUUUACUUGAUGAAUCUUCCAUGAUUUCAAGAAUGCUUUUCAUGCAAUAGAUCGUCUUCUUAAAGACAUUUGCAAUAGCGAACUUCCAUUUGGAGUGCAAAUGGUGUUGUGUGUGGUGAUGAAGAGGAACGGAAUCAAUAUCCGGUAGAAUUUUUAAAUAGUAUCACACCUUCAGGUAUGCCUCUUCAUUGUUUAGAGCAAAGGCAUUUGAUGAUGUUCGAGUAAGUGUUGUUCCAUCAUCCAAGCAAGGAUUUUUAUAGGAAAAUGUUAAACUAAUAAAAAAUAUUGUUUACCGUCAAAUUCUUACAUAAUUCAUACAAUAAUGAGGUACUCAUUGAUGCAAAUAUUAAAUUCUUAGCAGAAAUUCAACCUUUAGCACAUUUUAUCUAUUUGCCAUGUUGGACAAAGUGAAAAGAGGUUGACGUGUUAGAGUAAUUGGAAUGACAUACCCUUUUGUGCAACAUGGAACGUGCACUGUUGAUGGGAGACAUGUUACUAUCUGGUGCACCCAUGUCUUACGAAUUUGUAAGGCACAUCAGAAAAUCAUAAUUAGGUUUCGUAGCGUCUAAAACUUAAUUUAACAAUAAAUAUCUGGAAAAUUGAUGAAAUUUUGAAAGUAAAAAUAUUAGUAUGCUUAUCAAUAAUUAUUCUCUAGAUAAUCUGUAUUAUGUUUAAAAAAGUAAAAAAAAAAUAAGAUAUACUUAUAUGUGAAAGCAAAUAAUGGUAUUUUGUUAAAAGUGGUGCAAACUCUGAUAAUGUUGAUAAUACUACUUUUUUGCAGAUAAAUACGAUUUGCAUUUUCAAAGUUAUAGUAUGCCUACAGCCAUUCUUAAACCCUUAAAGUACAGUAAGGAUGCAUUUUUAUGAAUGUUGUGUUAGACAUGCAUCUUUUUAGGUGAAGUGCAAAGUACUAUGGCUUACCUUCACGUGGUGCACUUCGUUAAGUAAUUAGCGUAUAAGCAUAUACAUGUUUACUUAAAACAAUAAAUUUUAUAACAAUAAUAUGACUAAAUAAGUGGCUAAAAAUGAAGAGACAUUUAAAGUGUCCUCAGUUAAGAGUAAAAUUAUUUUCACCUUUCUUUAAAGCUCACUUAAAUUCGAAGUGGUAGAAAGACAUUCUAAUGUAUCUUCUAAUUUUAAAUCAGCAAAGAAGUUGAACACUUUUUUGUUUCCAUAUAUUGCAGUUGUGUUGAUACUAUUGUUAAAAAAUUACAUGCUGCUUACAUGCUAAUUAUGAACUAAAAGCCAGGGAAUGGACCCAAUCAGUGUGUUUGCAAAGUAGGUUUUGUUUAAUGAAUGACUGAACUAAAAAUUCUACAUAUUACAUUUAUUGUGAGAGACACUGUUGUAAAUUGAAGCAGUAAAUAAAUAGAGAGUGUCGAACAUAGAAAUUUGAUGACAUACUUUGUUGCAAAAUCACAUGAAACAACUAUUACAAUUUUUUAAAAUGUACAAUAUUGAGGUCUGAUGUUUACAGGUAUCUUAACACAAUUAAAAAUUGCAGAAUGACGGAUGUUCAUACCGCACAAGUCUGGGCCCGAGCGAAGUGGCUUGUAGGGACAAAUUUUCAGAACUCCUGCAAAGUGUAAACAUUUAGCUAGCGUUUGUACACACUUUUAAGUUAUUAUAUAGAUAGUUAUUUGCUGUUUAAUACUUAUACGUAUUGUUUUUGCAAAAAUGGAAAAGAAAGAUUGUGUACAAUGGCUUAUGGAACGUGGCCUGUCAACAUGAGGUACAGACAAGAGCUUAAUAUGCGUGUUAAUCGAUUCAAAUUAUACCCAUCACUUGCGGAAUAAUUGAGAGUCAAAAAGAGAAAGAAAUUUUAGUUUUGGUACAACAUUAGAUCUCAAUCUUAUCCCUCCCAUUUCAGCUCCCUGGCGUCCUAAAGAGGAAUUGUAUCCAAUAGUUACAGCAUCGAUAUUCAAAGAAUACAGUUGUAGAAAAGAUAGUUUAGGUCAGCGACAGAAAGCUUAUGCUAUGUUGACUAGCAGUAAAAUAGUUUCAGUAAAAACACAUGUUGCAGGUGAUGAUAAUGUAUUUGUUAGAGCACUUAUUAGAAAAUCAUAUGGUGAAUUAACAAGGCCGACAGUUAUUCUAUUUAAAGCCUACUGUGAAUGUCUUGGUGGUGUAAGUGGCUUAUGUU
Molecule: long non-coding RNA, 4549 nt
Organism: Hydractinia symbiolongicarpus
Lineage: Eukaryota; Metazoa; Cnidaria; Hydrozoa; Anthoathecata; Hydractiniidae
Exons: 3
Source: RefSeq, a predicted model, not a curated record